Molecule: ribosomal RNA, 253 nt
Filed under: uncultured bacterium
Lineage: Bacteria
Description: partial 16S ribosomal RNA
Rfam family: Bacterial small subunit ribosomal RNA
Source: RNAcentral
UACGGAGGAUCCGAGCGUUAUCCGGAUUUAUUGGGUUUAAAGGGAGCGUAGGUGGAUUGUUAAGUCAGUUGCGAAAGUUUGCGGCUCAACCGUAAAAUUGCAGUUGAAACUGGCAGUCUUGAGUACAGUAGAGGUGGGCGGAAUUCGUGGUGUAGCGGUAAAAUGCUUAGAUAUCACGAAGAACUCCGAUUGCGAAGGCAGCUCACUAGACUGCAACUGACACUGAUGCUCGAAAGUGUGGGUAUCAAACAGG